AACUUGCUUCUCUUGACAGCGGCGGACGGGUGAGUAAUGCCUAGGAAUCUGCCUAGGGGUGGGGGAUAACGUUCGGAAACGGACGCUAAUACCGCAUACGUCCUACGGGAGAAAGCGGGGGACCUUCGGGCCUCGCGCCAUUAGAUGAGCCUAGGUCGGAUUAGCUAGUUGGUGAGGUAACGGCUCACCAAGGCGACGAUCCGUAACUGGUCUGAGAGGAUGAUCAGUCACACUGGAACUGAGACACGGUCCAGACUCCUACGGGAGGCAGCAGUGGGGAAUAUUGGACAAUGGGCGAAAGCCUGAUCCAGCCAUGCCGCGUGUGUGAAGAAGGUCUUCGGAUUGUAAAGCACUUUAAUUUGGGAGGAAGGGUAGUAACUUAAUACGUUGCUAUUUUGACGUUACCGACAGAAUAAGCACCGGCUAACUUCGUGCCAGCAGCCGCGGUAAUACGAAGGGUGCAAGCGUUAAUCGGAAUUACUGGGCGUAAAGCGCGCGUAGGUGGUUCAGUAAGUUGGAUGUGAAAUCCCCGGGCUCAACCUGGGAACUGCAUCCAAAACUGCUGAACUAGAGUACGGUAGAGGGUGGUGGAAUUUCCUGUGUAGCGGUGAAAUGCGUAGAUAUAGGAAGGAACACCAGUGGCGAAAGCGACUACCUGGACUGAUACUGACGCUGAGGUGC
This 681-nucleotide ribosomal RNA is filed under the name Pseudomonas sp. THGR19-1. Its description in RNAcentral is "bacterial SSU rRNA". It matches the Rfam family "Bacterial small subunit ribosomal RNA", at positions 77 to 754 of the family's 1533-position model. The record is from RNAcentral. Lineage: Bacteria; Pseudomonadati; Pseudomonadota; Gammaproteobacteria; Pseudomonadales; Pseudomonadaceae.